Molecule: ribosomal RNA, 497 nt
Filed under: uncultured bacterium
Lineage: Bacteria
Description: partial 16S ribosomal RNA
Rfam family: Bacterial small subunit ribosomal RNA
Source: RNAcentral
GAUGAACGCUGGCGGCGUGCCUAAUACAUGCAAGUCGAGCGAACAGACGAGGAGCUUGCUCCUCUGACGUUAGCGGCGGACGGGUGAGUAACACGUGGAUAACCUACCUAUAAGACUGGGAUAACUUCGGGAAACCGGAGCUAAUACCGGAUAAUAUAUUGAACCGCAUGGUUCAAUAGUGAAAGACGGCUUUGCUGUCACUUAUAGAUGGAUCCGCGCCGCAUUAGCUAGUUGGUAAGGUAACGGCUUACCAAGGCGACGAUGCGUAGCCGACCUGAGAGGGUGAUCGGCCACACUGGAACUGAGACACGGUCCAGACUCCUACGGGAGGCAGCAGUAGGGAAUCUUCCGCAAUGGGCGAAAGCCUGACGGAGCAACGCCGCGUGAGUGAUGAAGGUCUUCGGAUCGUAAAACUCUGUUAUUAGGGAAGAGCAAAUGUGUAAGUAACUAUGCACGUCUUGACGGUACCUAAUCAGAAAGCCACGGCUAACUACGUG